RNAcentral lists this ribosomal RNA (403 nucleotides) under Fusobacteriota bacterium. RNAcentral describes it as "Fusobacteria bacterium partial 16S ribosomal RNA". It matches the Rfam family "Bacterial small subunit ribosomal RNA", at positions 355 to 776 of the family's 1533-position model. The record is from RNAcentral. Lineage: Bacteria; Fusobacteriati; Fusobacteriota.
UGGGGAAUAUUGCACAAUGGAGGGAACUCUGAUGCAGCGACGCCGCGUGAACGAAGAAGGCUUUCGAGUCGUAAAGUUCUUUUAUAUGGGAAUAUAAUGACGGUACCAUAAGAAAAAGCCCCGGCUAACUACGUGCCAGCAGCCGCGGUAAUACGUAGGGGGCUAGCGUUUUCCGGAAUCACUGGGCGUAAAGGGUUCGCAGGCGGAAAUGCAAGUCAGGUGUAAAAGGCAGUAGCUUAACUACUGUAAGCAUUUGAAACUGCAUAUCUUGAGAAGAGUAGAGGUAAGUGGAAUUUUUAGUGUAGCGGUGAAAUGCGUAGAUAUUAAAAAGAAUACCGGUGGCGAAGGCGACUUACUGGGCUCAUUCUGACGCUGAGGAACGAAAGCGUGGGUAGCAAACAGG